GGCGAACGGGUGAGGAACACGUGAGAAACCUGCCUUUCAUUUUGGGAUAACUCCGGGAAACCGGGGCUAAAACCGAAUACUCCGUCUCGGCGGCAUCGCUGAGCCGGGAAAAAAUUUUGAUGAAAGAUGGUCUCGCGGCCUAUCAGCUAGUUGGUGAGGUAAUGGCUCACCAAGGCAACGACGGGUAGCCGGCCUGAGAGGGCGACCGGCCACACUGGGACUGAGACACGGCCCAGACUCCUACGGGAGGCAGCAGUGGGGAAUAUUGGGCAAUGGGCGCAAGCCUGACCCAGCGACGCCGCGUGAGGGAUGAAGGCCUUCGGGUUGUAAACCUCUUUCAGUAGGGAAGAAGCGAAAGUGACGGUACCUAAAGAAGAAGCACCGGCUAACUAUGUGCCAGCAGCCGCGGUAAUACAUAGGGUGCAAGCGUUGUCCGGAAUUAUUGGGCGUAAAGAGCUCGUAGGUCGUUUGCCGCGUCGAUUGUGAAAAUCUGAGGCUCAACCUCAGACCUGCAGUCGAUACGGGCAAACUAGAGUGUGGUAGGGGAGACUGGAAUUCCUGGUGUAGCGGUGGAAUGCGCAGAUAUCAGGAGGAACACCAAAGGCGAAGGCAGGUCUCUGGGCCAUAACUGACACUGAGGAGCGAAAGCGCGGGGAGCGAACAGGAUU
Molecule: ribosomal RNA, 668 nt
Filed under: uncultured Micrococcineae bacterium
Lineage: Bacteria; Bacillati; Actinomycetota; Actinomycetes; Micrococcales
Description: bacterial SSU rRNA
Rfam family: Bacterial small subunit ribosomal RNA
Source: RNAcentral